RNAcentral lists this long non-coding RNA (225 nucleotides) under Vitis vinifera (wine grape). RNAcentral's name for it is "long non-coding RNA (VVIN_LNC002091)". Lineage: Eukaryota; Viridiplantae; Streptophyta; Magnoliopsida; Vitales; Vitaceae. The record is from RNAcentral.
UUAAUCUAUAGCAAAGUAUUUCAAAUUUUCGGAGUUGUAAAGCACUUAGUAGGCAGGUAUGGUCUACGAAGACUUUUGUCUUAUAUACAUUACCCUCUACUUCAUCUAGAGGGCACUAAUUCUGAACAAAGAAUAAAUUAAGCUAUGGUAGGAACACGUGUCCUUGAAUUGGGCCGUGAAUGUAGAUUCAAGUCAUUGAGCGUAACUCUACAAACACGCAUCAGC